GAGGAAGCCACCGGGGCGAGAGGCGGCAGCGGCAGCGGCUGUGACGCGUCACAGCUGCCGCGGUCGCUCUGAGAGAAUGACAGAGGGAGCGCGGGGCGCUUUGCGUGGCUUCGCCUGGCAGGCUCAGCGUCCCAAUUAGCUCCCCGUAAACAAAGGAGGAAGUUUUGCCGCGGCGCUCGCGCUCUCCUUCCUCACCUCCCCGCCACCCUCACAUCUUCACCGCCACCUCCACCAGCGCAGCCCAGCGAGAGCUUCCUCUCCCCCCUUUUUUCUGCUAGCAGAUAAGAGGCGUUCAGAAGUGGCGCAGCCCCCGCUCUGAUAGCGCGAGGUGUCACCAAUGAAAGGCAGCGUCCCCGCUGAAUACGCUCGCGUGGAUGAAAGAGCAACAACACGUCCUCCUCCCCCUGCCUUUGAAGGCGUAAACCCAACCGUGACAGGCAGCUGCUAAGAGGCCUUUCUGACCCACCGCUGAACACGGCCGGAUCUUCAGCAGCGAAGGUUCCAGUUAACCACGGACUCCUCUCUCCAUGUCGACUGAUUGCAUCAUCGGCUCGCCGCUGGCGUGAAAGUGGCUGAGUGAGAAAGUACAGGAUGUCUUUAUUGCUGUGGAGAGGGAAACCUUCUCCAACCGUCUCCACCUGCACUUAUCACUCGCUGAGCAGAAAAUUCACUGAAAGUUCCCUGUCUAACUGGCGUGCAUUCCUGUUGGAGAAAUCAUAAACUAAGCCUUCUAAACCUGCCUUCCACUGACCUAAAGAAGGAGGAAUGUCUCGGAACCAUCAGCAGAUCAUUUUCCUCACCGGCCAACCUCACGCGCCUUUCUUAAUUUGAUUGGCAUGUUCUAUUUAUUACCAUGCAACUGGGAUUUUAUCCGCUAUUUGCUUCCAGAUCAGCCUAUACGGAGAGGGAAGAGAGGCUCCCCUGUGGUAGUGGUGAUGUCACCAGUGCAGAGUAAAUACCCAAAGUGCAUCAUGUUAAAGUGGAAGAAAUGGAAAGGAUGUUUGUUUGGUGUGAAGAGGCGCGACGCUCAAACCGGCCACUCAUCAGGAGAAACUAGACUUACAAAUCUGCUCACAAAAAAACACUAAAAGCCAACUUUGGUUUUGAAGGCCAGUUAGGUGUACUUUUUUAGAGUGCUGAUUAUUUUUAAUGACACAAAUCACGGGGUGACAUUUUCAGAUAUGUCAUUUUUUUAAAUUUCAAUCACAACCUCUCUUUGGGGUUGACUGAUGAAUCACAGCAACCUUUUCUCCCUCCGAAUUCAUUUGUAUCUCUUUGGAGUAAGAGCCUUGCUGCAGCUGUCUGUGCCGUGUGAGGGUGGGGGGGGGGCAGAAGCUGGGGGAGAACAGCUCGAAAAUGGCUUCUCUCGGUGGCAGCGUAUCACCAUCUAAAUCUCUCCCCCCACAUCGGGGGAGCAGAGCUGUGACUACUGGGAUUAGGCUAAUCACACAUUCACCCAGGAGGCUGCACACACAGGAGAUCCUGCGUAAGGCAUGACCUUAUUUCAGACGGGUUUCUAUAGACGCUCUUUUGCUGGCAUCUCGAAGCCAAUGCUUAUGCUGAGAUUUACUUAUUGGGGCUGCGCUUUAUUCCAGUUUGUCCCUUUACGCUGCAUUUUACACUUCAUUGACACGCAAACAUCCUUUUAUGAGCCGAUUCUUUUUUUUUUUUUUCACUACAUUAUUACAACUCACAAAUUGGUGUAUGUGAAAAAUAACUGUGCUCACAUAAGAUUCUCAAUUAAAUUGCGUCAUGUUUUUAAUAUUGUACAUUCUGUUAAAAUGAUUUGUAUUGAUAUUAUUAUGUG
Molecule: long non-coding RNA, 1807 nt
Organism: Gasterosteus aculeatus aculeatus (three-spined stickleback)
Lineage: Eukaryota; Metazoa; Chordata; Actinopteri; Perciformes; Gasterosteidae
Source: Ensembl